Molecule: non-coding RNA, 46 nt
Organism: Trichobilharzia regenti
Lineage: Eukaryota; Metazoa; Platyhelminthes; Trematoda; Strigeidida; Schistosomatidae
Source: Rfam
GUGCUGCUGAAGAGUCCCAAACUAGGACGAAACAGCUGUCCAGUAC